AUCAACUUUCGAUGGUAGGAUAGAGGCCUACCAUGGUGGUAACGGGUAACGGGGUGUUAGGGCACGACACCGGAGAGGGAGCCUGAGAAACGGCUACCACAUCCAAGGAUGGCAGCAGGCGCGCAAAUUACCCAAUCCCGACACGGGGAGGUAGUGACAAUAAAUAACAAUACGGGGUUCUUUCGGAUUUCGUAAUUGGAAUGAGUACAAUUUAAAUCUCUUAACGAGGAACAAUUGGAGGGCAAGUCUGGUGCCAGCAGCCGCGGUAAUUCCAGCUCCAAUAGCGUAUAUUAAAGUUGUUGCAGUUAAAAAGCUCGUAGUUGAAUUUCGGGAUCAGUACGCUGGUCGUGCCUUCGGUAUGCACUGGUGUCACUGGUUUCUCCCUUCUGAAGAACCAUCAUGCCAUUCAGUUGGUGUGGCGGGAAAUCAGGACUGUUACUUUGAAAAAAUUAGAGUAUUUAAAGCAGGCUCGCGCUUGAAUACAUUAGCAUGGAAUAAUGAAAUAGGACGUUUGACCCUAUUUUGUUGGUUUCUAGGAUCGACGUAAUGCUUAAUAGGGAUAGUUGGGGGCAUUAGUAUUCAAUUGUCAGAGGUGAAAUUCUUGGAUUUAUUGAAGACUAACUACUGCGAAAGCAUUUGCCAAGGAUGUUUUCAUUAAUCAAGAACGAAAGUUAGGGGAUCGAAGACGAUCAGAUACCGUCGUAGUCUUAACCAUAAACUAUGCCGACUAGGGAUCGGAUGAUGUUAAUUUUUUAAUGACUCAUUCGGCGCCUUACGGGAAACCAAAGUGUUUGGGUUC
RNAcentral lists this ribosomal RNA (799 nucleotides) under uncultured Glomus. RNAcentral describes it as "SSU rRNA". It matches the Rfam family "Eukaryotic small subunit ribosomal RNA", at positions 314 to 1114 of the family's 1831-position model. The record is from RNAcentral. Lineage: Eukaryota; Fungi; Glomeromycota; Glomeromycetes; Glomerales; Glomeraceae.